UCUACAGCAUACACUAAAUCUUACUUUCCCCAAAACUUUCAGAGAUACCACAGUGACUCUACAGAAGCUCACAAAUCUAUUGGCACGCAGCAGACUAGGGAUCAGAAACACAUACACAGGGGUGUGCAAGCUCCUGUCUGUCACAGCUUUACCUUUCUUUCUUUUUUUAUAUUAGAGUGAUGUGCUCCUGGAAGAAAAAGUCAACACAGAAGGAGCCUGUAUAUGGCCAGAUUACUUAGACCAUCAUCUUUAAAGCUGCUUUUGUCAACUGUGCCUGAUGAGCUUAAUGCUCAGGAAUCUCAGCUUCAUCAGAACUGACAUGAAUAUCCCACUGAGAAGUUUUGACUUUUACUUACUGACAUUGAUUGAAAAUGACAUGACGGG
RNAcentral lists this long non-coding RNA (384 nucleotides) under Numida meleagris (helmeted guineafowl). RNAcentral describes it as "lncRNA (ENSNMEG00000019249.1)". Lineage: Eukaryota; Metazoa; Chordata; Aves; Galliformes; Numididae. The record is from RNAcentral.